AGCGAACGCUGGCGGUAGGCCUAACACAUGCAAGUCGAACGGCAGCACAGUAAGAGCUUGCUCUUACGGGUGGCGAGUGGCGGACGGGUGAGGAAUACAUCGGAAUCUACUUUUUCGUGGGGGAUAACGUAGGGAAACUUACGCUAAUACCGCAUACGACCUACGGGUGAAAGCAGGGGAUCUUCGGACCUUGCGCGAUUGAAUGAGCCGAUGUCGGAUUAGCUAGUUGGCGGGGUAAAGGCCCACCAAGGCGACGAUCCGUAGCUGGUCUGAGAGGAUGAUCAGCCACACUGGAACUGAGACACGGUCCAGACUCCUACGGGAGGCAGCAGUGGGGAAUAUUGGACAAUGGGCGCAAGCCUGAUCCAGCCAUACCGCGUGGGUGAAGAAGGCCUUCGGGCUGUAAAGCCCUUUUGUUGGGAAAGAAAAGCAGCAGGUUAAUACCCCGCUGUUCUGACGGUACCCAAAGAAUAAGCACCGGCUAACUUCGUG
Molecule: ribosomal RNA, 492 nt
Filed under: uncultured bacterium
Lineage: Bacteria
Description: partial 16S ribosomal RNA
Rfam family: Bacterial small subunit ribosomal RNA
Source: RNAcentral